UGGGGAAUAUUGCACAAUGGGCGAAAGCCUGAUGCAGCAACGCCGCGUGAGCGAUGAAGGCCUUUGGGUCGUAAAGCUCUGUCCUAGGGGACGAAAAAAAUGACGGUACCCUUGGAGGAAGCCCCGGCUAACUACGUGCCAGCAGCCGCGGUAAUACGUAGGGGGCGAGCGUUAUCCGGAAUUAUUGGGCGUAAAGAGUGCGUAGGUGGUUCUUUAAGCGUGAGGUGAAAGGCAAUGGCUUAACUAUUGUAAGCCUUGCGAACUGGAGAACUUGAGUGCAGGAGAGGUAAGUGGAAUUCCUAGUGUAGCGGUGAAAUGCGUAGAUAUUAGGAGGAACACCAGUGGCGAAGGCGACUUACUGGACUGUAACUGACACUGAGGCACGAAAGCGUGGGGAGCAAACA
This 404-nucleotide ribosomal RNA is filed under the name uncultured prokaryote. RNAcentral's name for it is "bacterial SSU rRNA". It matches the Rfam family "Bacterial small subunit ribosomal RNA", at positions 355 to 774 of the family's 1533-position model. The record is from RNAcentral.